Molecule: long non-coding RNA, 400 nt
Organism: Sciurus carolinensis (gray squirrel)
Lineage: Eukaryota; Metazoa; Chordata; Mammalia; Rodentia; Sciuridae
Exons: 4
Source: RefSeq, a predicted model, not a curated record
GCAAUCCAGAGCUCCGCACAGCUUCUAAGCAGUUCUGGCCCUUUGGACCCAAACUUCCUUGGAAGAAGGGAAAGUAGGGCAGCAGGAGAGGAAAGGACUCCGGGCUGGCGCGCAUCCUGGGACCGGAAGGUGCCGUGGAAGCUCCCGACGCCACUGAGCCGGGCAGCGCAGCAAGCCGCCAGGGUUGUCUUUGCUCAAAUGAGUCAGGACACAGAGUGCUCAGAACAAACCUGGCAUCCUGACAUUUCUCCACACCAAUCACCACUGCUUGGUGCCUUCCUUGGACUGGAUCCACAGCUCCUGCCCCCAAGAGGCGUCCUCAAACUGGUCCUGACUGGGAGAUGAACGGGCUGGGUGUGGUGACUUUCCCCUGUAGCAGCUGGGGAGGCUGAGGCAGGAG